This 878-nucleotide ribosomal RNA is filed under the name uncultured bacterium. Its description in RNAcentral is "bacterial SSU rRNA". It matches the Rfam family "Bacterial small subunit ribosomal RNA", at positions 572 to 1460 of the family's 1533-position model. The record is from RNAcentral.
UAGGCGGGUAGGUAAGUCAGUGGUGAAAUCCUGGAGCUCAACUCCAGAACUGCCAUUGAUACUAUCUAUCUUGAAUAUUGUGGAGGUAAGCGGAAUAUGUCAUGUAGCGGUGAAAUGCUUAGAUAUGACAUAGAACACCCAUUGCGAAGGCAGCUUACUACGCAUAUAUUGACGCUGAGGCACGAAAGCGUGGGGAUCAAACAGGAUUAGAUACCCUGGUAGUCCACGCCCUAAACUAUGGAUACUCGACAUAUGCGAUACACUGUAUGUGUCUGAGCGAAAGCAUUAAGUAUCCCACCUGGGAAGUACGUUCGCAAGAAUGAAACUCAAAGGAAUUGGCGGGGGUCCGCACAAGCGGUGGAGUAUGUGGUUUAAUUCGAUGAUACGCGAGGAACCUUACCUGGGCUAGAAUGCUGGGAGACCGCUAGUGAAAGCUAGUUUUGUAGCAAUACACUGCCAGUAAGGUGCUGCAUGGCCGUCGUCAGCUCGUGCCGUGAGGUGUUGGGUUAAGUCCCGCAACGAGCGCAACCCCUAUCUUUAGUUGCCAACAGGUAAUGCUGGGAACUCUAAAGAAACUGCCGCCGUAAGGUGUGAGGAAGGAGGGGAUGAUGUCAGGUCAUCAUGGCCUUUAUGCCCAGGGCUACACACGUACUACAAUGGGGAAGACAAAGGGCUGCAACAUAGCGAUAUGAAGCCAAUCCCAAAAACUUCCUCUCAGUUCAGAUUGCAGGCUGCAACUCGCCUGCAUGAAGCUGGAAUCGCUAGUAAUCGUAUAUCAGCAAUGAUACGGUGAAUACGUUCCCGGACCUUGCACACACCGCCCGUCAAGCCAUGGGAGUCGGGUGUACCUCAGUCGGUAACCGUAAGGAGCUGCCUAG